Molecule: non-coding RNA, 24 nt
Filed under: Arabidopsis thaliana (thale cress)
Lineage: Eukaryota; Viridiplantae; Streptophyta; Magnoliopsida; Brassicales; Brassicaceae
Source: RNAcentral
UGGGUAGACUUCUUUAGCAGCUGC